CCUACGGGAGGCAGCAGUAGGGAAUCUUCCGCAAUGGACGAAAGUCUGACGGAGCAACGCCGCGUGAGUGAUGAAGGUUUUCGGAUCGUAAAGCUCUGUUGUUAGGGAAGAACAAGUACCGUUCGGAUAGGGCGGUGACCUUGACGGUACCUAACCAGAUAGCAACGGUUAACUACGUGCCAGCAGCCGCGGUAAUACGUAGGUGGCAAGCGUUGUCCGGAAUUAUUGGGCGUAAAGGGCUCGCUGGCGGUCUCUUAAGUCUGAUGUGAAAUGCCGCCGGCUCAACCGGGGAGGAUCAUCGGCAAACUGGGGAACUUGAGUGGAAGAGGAGAGUGGAAUUCCACGUGUAGCGGUGAAAUGCGUAGAGAUGUGGAGGAACACCAGUGGCGAAGGCGACUCUCUGGUGUGUAACUGACGCUGAGGAGCAAAAGCGUGGGGAGCGAACAGGAUUAGAUACCCUGGUAGUCCACGCCGUAAACGAUGAGUGCUAAGUGUUAGGGGGUUUCCGCCUGUUAGUGCUGCAGCUAACGCAUUAAGCACUCCGCCUGGGGAGUACGGUCGCAAGACUGAAACUUAAAGGAAUUGACGG
RNAcentral lists this ribosomal RNA (589 nucleotides) under uncultured Bacillus sp. Its description in RNAcentral is "bacterial SSU rRNA". It matches the Rfam family "Bacterial small subunit ribosomal RNA", at positions 338 to 916 of the family's 1533-position model. The record is from RNAcentral. Lineage: Bacteria; Bacillati; Bacillota; Bacilli; Caryophanales; Bacillaceae.